UACAGAGGUCCCAAGCGUUGUUCGGAUUCACUGGGCGUAAAGGGUGCGUAGGUGGUGAGGUAAGUCGGAUGUGAAAUCUCCAAGCUCAACUUGGAAAUGGCAUUGGAAACUACCUUGCUGGAGGUUUGGAGGGGGGACUGGAAUACUUGGUGUAGCAGUGAAAUGCGUAGAUAUCAGGAGGAAUACCGAUGGCGAAGGCAGGUCUCUGGGCUGACACUGACGCUCAUGCACGAAAGCGUGGGGAGCAAACAGG
Molecule: ribosomal RNA, 253 nt
Filed under: uncultured bacterium
Lineage: Bacteria
Description: partial 16S ribosomal RNA
Rfam family: Bacterial small subunit ribosomal RNA
Source: RNAcentral